GUACUCGCUUCGGCGGUACAUAUACUAAAAUUGGAACGAUACAGAGAAGAUUAGCAUGGCCCCUGCGCAAGGAUAACA
This 78-nucleotide small nuclear RNA is filed under the name Rhodnius prolixus. Lineage: Eukaryota; Metazoa; Arthropoda; Insecta; Hemiptera; Reduviidae. The record is from RNAcentral.